Molecule: long non-coding RNA, 1046 nt
Organism: Salvia splendens (bonfire salvia)
Lineage: Eukaryota; Viridiplantae; Streptophyta; Magnoliopsida; Lamiales; Lamiaceae
Exons: 7
Source: RefSeq, a predicted model, not a curated record
UUCACUUUCUACUUCAACCCUAGCUCUUUUUUUUACCGCUAUCCGCCGCUCUAUCUCCUCCGUCAUGUGAAAUCGGACGUUCUAUCUCCCCAGUCUCUGAAAAUUGUUCCGUUCGCUGCUCUAUCACCUCUGUUAUGUGAAAUCAAACGUUCUAUCUCCUCUAAUCUGUGAAAAUUGUGCCAUUCGCCUCUCUAUCUCUUCCGUUAUGCGAAAUCGAACGUUCUAUCUCCUCCAAUCUGUGAAAAUUGAAUCGUUUGCCGCUCUAUCUCCUCCGUUAUAUGAAAUCGAACGUUCUAUCUCCUCCAGUCUGUGAAAAUUGAUUCAUUUGCCGCUCUAUCUCCUCCGUUAUAUGAAAUUGAACGUUCUAUCUCCAUCAAUCUGUGAAAAUUGUUCCAUUCUAUCUCUUAUGCAAGCCACAAGUGACAGCCUUCAACUGCGAGGAAGGAGAGAGAGGGUCGUUUUUUCCCCUACUGAUUUCGUUCCGUCGCGCGAUCGCUUGCCUAGGAUUGAUGUUUUUGCUCCUCUUGGAUUUCCUGAUCACCCACAUAAAGGAUUUGAGACUGUCACCUACAUGCUGCAGCGAAGAAUGAAUGAGGAGAAAAUGACAGCUGCUUGAUCAAACAGGGAUGGUCAAUUCCUUGAGUUCUUUUGAUUUUGGUGCUCCAGAUUAGACUCCGGAUUUUGAGGGGUUCUUUGCAAAAGCUGCUAGAAUAGGUUGAGAUGCCUUCGCAAGUUUUAUGCUGAACAAGUCUGUCCCUUUUCUCUCAGACUCUUUGAAUACGAAAUGAACUCCGCCAAGAACUGUGGCGCGAAAUGCAUCAAGAACUACGCGACCAAAAAUGGGAGAUGGAAGAAACAAUGAAGUAGUUUAUGAUGUCCAAGCAAGCCAACAAUCAAGUCACAAUCCUGAUUAUGAUGAUGAGUUCAUAUAUCUCAUGAACUCAUUUUGAAAACUCAGACACUUUAUGUUGGCUUCGUAUGUUGGAUUGUAUAUUUUGAUUAAUAAUUUUGAGGUUUAUCAAUGAUGAUUUUCAUUUUGGUCAUUA